CCUGGUUGUGCUUGUAAUAACAAUAUCAACAACGCUAAUGGUAGUAACUUUGAGUUUUUGUGGUGAUGUAUGCGAGUUCCUCCAACAAGAAAGAAUUAGAAGCUCGGUGAGAGGUACAAAGCAAUGUCAAGAGGCAAAAUGCCACCAUGGAGAUGGAGAUCCUUGACUGUCCUGUCUUCUUCAGUCCCCUUAGGCUUCCGGCAUUUCAUGUAAUGCACUAUGUGUACACACCUUUAC
RNAcentral lists this long non-coding RNA (237 nucleotides) under Hordeum vulgare. Its description in RNAcentral is "long non-coding RNA (HVUL_LNC006226)". The record is from RNAcentral. Lineage: Eukaryota; Viridiplantae; Streptophyta; Magnoliopsida; Poales; Poaceae.